Molecule: long non-coding RNA, 776 nt
Filed under: Homo sapiens (human)
Lineage: Eukaryota; Metazoa; Chordata; Mammalia; Primates; Hominidae
Description: HSALNT0377012
Source: RNAcentral
GAUGCGGAGCGAGUCGUAGCCGAUGAAGGGCUUCCAGGUCUUCUUGUCCUCCUUGUAGAACCAGCGUACCUCCUCCGGGCCCAGCUCCGUCACUACCUCAUAGCGGUGCCGGGCCGCCGGGCCGCCAAGCCGGGUACGUUUCCUUUCCCCGGGGGACCCUCCUGUCGCGCCGCCGCCCCCCGAGUUCGUCGGGACCAGCGGAGGCUGCUGCGGCGGGUGCAGCGACAAGGAGCUGCCGCCGCCGCCGCUCUCACCCUCGCUGUAGUAGCGCAGCGAGGAGCCCGACUCGGCGGAGCUGAAGUCAUAGUUCUCGUCACUGAGGCAGGGGUCCAGCGCGAGGUGGUGGUUGUGGUCGUCGGUGCCCGGCGCCAAAUGCAGCCCGGGUUCCCCGCGCAGCAGGGCCAGGGGCACGUCGCCGUCGUCCGGGUCCCCGCCGGGCAGGUGCUCGAAGCAGCAGACGCCGCCGCCGAACGCUGGCCUCGCGUCUGAGCCCAGCUCCCAGGCGCCGCCGCCGCCGCCUCGGCCGUUAUGCUCGGGGCUCCGUGGGGACCCGCGGCCCGGGUAAUUCAUGCUGUGGAGACGCCGCCGGCUGUCCGGCGGCGCGCGGAGCCGUGACCCCCAGCGCUUCCGCCACACAUUCAACGCCGCCGCCCUCUCCACCCGAAGUUUCUAAUCUUUCAAAUCCCGACCCGAGCUGCGGCGGCAGCGGCGACCGCUCCGCCCCCACGAGACCCGCAGCCGCCGCAGCUGCGUUCUGCCGCCGGCCCCAUUGUCAC